AUGUCUCUCAAGGGACAGCAUAUUGGAACACAAACAAGAACGUGAAGUGUUUUGAGUAUGGAUUCUUCCAUUCCAGUAAGGACUGGCUGUCAGCAGUUGUGUUUGAAGCACCACAAAGGCAUGGUGCUCUCUUUUUCAUAAAAUGGGAGUGUCAUAUCUCAGCACUGGGAGCUGUUACUUGAAACAGUGAAGCCACACUGGAAAUCCGUGAGAUAGGAAAGUUUUCCCUGGAUUGUUUGGUGCUUGUGGGAGCAUGGGUAUCUGGUGAGAAAAGAGCUGGUAUCCGCGGCUCAUCUUUCUCUAAAUACUUCAGGCAGUAGGUACAGCAGGGAGCAGAACCUCACCUCUGGAGGGUCCUUCCUACAUAGGGGCUGUUAUGGGUUUAGAGGUUGGAGUGCAAGACUCCAGGAUGGUUGGUGGCUGGGGAAGGCUGGGUGCUCUGCUCUUCGCUGAAAGAGUUAGGCAAACCUACCUUGAUGUAGGAGCUCCUUGUUCACAUUCUGCAUUUGUUCCUCCCCUCUUUUGCCUCUGGAGCUGGAGCACAUUGGAGCUCAACCAUCGGACAAGGAUUAGAGACUUGUGUGUUCUAAGGCAUUAAUAAAAAAUAUAUUCCAGGUGGAUUCUGUCUCUUAAACGCGUCAGUAGCAUUAAGGGUCUGUUGGGAUGUUCUGUCCAAGGAGAUUGGUCGGAGGUGUUGGAGCGAGCUGUGCUCAGCUGGACCUGGCAGCAAAACUGGGAGAGGCUCACAAUGAGGGUAGGAUAUCAACUCUGCACGUGAAUCCUGGCUCAACUUUUCUGGAUCUUCUUCUUGCUUUCCCAAGGAAGGUUACACGAGAAGCUCUGAAUCCCUGUGCUGCAGCAGGAAGUGUUUCGGAGGGACUGAGCAACUCAGGAGCAACUCAGUCCUGUGGGUAGCAGCACUGCACUUGCUGCAAUGGUAAUGAAGAAGAUCAGAUUGGAAUCCAUAGCUUCUUAGCUUCCUUGGGUCAGAGCCUGAGCUCUGUAUUAGCAGAGCUCCUUGUUCUUGGGGCCACUAUAUGAAUAAUAACACCAUCAAAAGAUUUUUCUAUACAGGUCACAAGGAAUCUGGCUGGGUUCUUGCACAAUUUUACUUCUUUUGCAAGUCACGUACAAGUGAGAAUGUUUUGCCUUUGCAUAAUCAUUCAAGUUAGUUUUUUUCCUGACCAAACCAGCACCUCCAUUCUUCUACCCCCAGUUUCUAGCAAGAAAAACAAUGCAGAGGUUUUGGGAAGAGUAUUCGGUUGUUAAUUCCUUUUCCAGAGGAAAACCAUCUCUUCACAGGAUGUGAGUGCCAGAAAUCCCAAGAGCCACUUUGAGGGUGGUAAGGUAUUGCCAUGAGCUGCAAUGCCAAUUCUGUGCGCACAUGCUGUGUUAUUGCUGAUGCUGACAUUCCCUAAUCUAAUCUCACACAUUGUGAUGCUUAUGCCAGCCUGCUCUAGGAUGAGCUCCUCAGCGUCUUUAAUUGGUGGGAAUAGACAGGUCCACUGUCUGCAUGUUUGAUAUGUGUGCAGUUUUCCAGCAGGCUUGUUCUUUUCUUUUUGUGUUGCUCCUUGAGUGCAACUUGGCAUGGUUUUGGGGGUGUUUUGGUAUUUUAUUGAUGUUGCUUUCAAGGCAGAUAUGUUUUCUUUCCCUUGAAAGCUAUGGAAAAACCUAAAGCUUCUUAAAAAAUAAAAAAAAUAAAGCCAUUCA
Long non-coding RNA from Numida meleagris (helmeted guineafowl), 1710 nucleotides. Lineage: Eukaryota; Metazoa; Chordata; Aves; Galliformes; Numididae. The record is from Ensembl.